Molecule: long non-coding RNA, 827 nt
Filed under: Homo sapiens (human)
Lineage: Eukaryota; Metazoa; Chordata; Mammalia; Primates; Hominidae
Description: HSALNT0332603
Source: RNAcentral
UCCUUGGCCUCAAAGGAUCCUCCUGUCUGGGUCUCUCAAACUGCUGGGAAUACAAGCAUGAGCCACCACAGCUGACGAACAGCUAUUUUUGAAUAAAGUAAAGGAAGAGAGGGAGGGAGAGAAGAAGGAAGAAGAAAAAAAAGAAAAGAAGUGAAGGAGGGUUAACUACAGCCAAAGAAAAAGAAGCAGCCCAACAGAGAGCUCAGGAAAAUUACACUUCAUACAUCCAACUGCUAUGGAAGAGGAUGGAGGUGAGAAGCGGAGGGAGAAAGAAGGAUGUGAUAUUCCAUCCCCAUUAAGAAAAUUUUUCAAGCCCCCAAUCUGAACCUACUGAAUCAGAAUUUGAGGAGAUGAGACCUGUAUACCUAGAUUUUCAAAAGACUCUCAACUCUAUCCACUCUCAUCACUUCUAUUUAACAUUAUACUGGAGGUCCUGGCCAGGGAAGUAAGGACACAAUUGGAGAAACUGGUUAUUUUGCCAAGGCUUUGAUGGGAAUGGCGUGGUUCCCUUUAAGGAAGCAAAUUUGACUUAUAGAGCCAAUAAAAGCCCCUUGGGAAAACUGGCCUCAUACCUUGUCUACACAGUACUUGUACAGGGCUCCUGACCUAUGAUGGACCCUUGAAGGAAGAAAACAUCGAAGGAGGAAAGAGAAGGCUUUGACAUAAAUUGAGAGGAACAAGGAGAAAGAGAAUCUGCUUUAUUACCCAGAGGAUACAAUGAAGGAAGCUUGGGGUCAUCCUAAAUUCCUGAAUUUUCUCUAUUUUGCAAGAUCCAGCCAAUAAUCAAGUCUAGUCACUUUUUCCUCCUCGUAAGUAUCUUCUGUACC